This 429-nucleotide ribosomal RNA is filed under the name uncultured bacterium. RNAcentral describes it as "partial 16S ribosomal RNA". It matches the Rfam family "Bacterial small subunit ribosomal RNA", at positions 355 to 776 of the family's 1533-position model. The record is from RNAcentral.
UGGGGAAUUUUGGACAAUGGGCGAAAGCCUGAUCCAGCAAUGCCGCGUGUGUGAAGAAGGCCUUCGGGUUGUAAAGCACUUUUGUCCGGAAAGAAAUCCUUGGCUCUAAUACAGUCGGGGGAUGACGGUACCGGAAGAAUAAGCACCGGCUAACUACGUGCCAGCAGCCGCGGUAAUACGUAGGGUGCAAGCGUUAAUCGGAAUUACUGGGCGUAAAGCGUGCGCAGGCGGUUUGCUAAGACCGAUGUGAAAUCCCCGGGCUCAACCUGGGAACUGCAUUGGUGACUGGCAGGCUAGAGUAUGGCAGAGGGGGGUAGAAUUCCACGUGUAGCAGUGAAAUGCGUAGAGAUGUGGAGGAAUACCGAUGGCGAAGGCAGCCCCCUGGGCCAAUACUGACGCUCAUGCACGAAAGCGGGGGGAGCAAACAGG